ACCGCUUCUCGGCCUUUUGGCUAAGAUCAAGUGUAGUAUCCUUAUCAGUUUAAUCUAGCCUCUUCCAGAGAGUCUGCUGACCCCAGCUCCGUCAGGUGGAAACUUGGACGCAGAUGUCAGAGAUCAUGGGUCCCAAGCACAUAGCAGAUCUAAAUGCCACUCAACUUCUUGCAUUUCGUGGGCAAAACCAA
Molecule: small nuclear RNA, 191 nt
Organism: Suricata suricatta (meerkat)
Lineage: Eukaryota; Metazoa; Chordata; Mammalia; Carnivora; Herpestidae
Gene: U2
Rfam family: U2 spliceosomal RNA
About the family: U2 is a small nuclear RNA (snRNA) component of the spliceosome (involved in pre-mRNA splicing).
Source: Ensembl